UUCUCUGUAACCAUAAGGGCUAGAAACAUUUUUUUUGAACUAAAAUCUUAGACAGUCUCACAAUCACAUGACUCCAGGAGCUGGGGCGUUAAGUACAAAACCAAAUAUUUAAUCACUUCCCUGCCACUGCAGGGGCUUGGGCACUUGUGCACCUUGGUCCCUCCUGUUCUCUCUCUGCCUGUGGCACACAAUAGUUUAGUCUCCUGAGGCUUUCAUACUUUGAUCAGGUUCGAGUUGUUGGCUUGGUGUGUGGGUGCUGAGUGGAGUUUGGUGGUCUGUGAUAUACAGGCUGGACUGGAUGAUCUGUUGUUCCCUUCUGGUCUUAAACUCUAUGACUCAAAAUAUCGCAGUGAAAUUGUAGGGAGUUGGCGGCACUGGGAUAUGGAAAGCUGGGCCCUUCUCUACAUAACCCACUGCCUUCCCAGCCGUUUGAAACCCAGCCUGGAGUGGCAACACGGCAGGGUAUGUGGUAUCUGGAUACUGCCAUUCUGCUGGAGAGGUGCUAUUCGGAGCACUCUCAAUUCAAGAUAGCUCCAGCUGCUAGGGCUGCGAACUGCGCCCUCUCAUGCACACUUCCACCGACAUUGUUUCCACUGUGACAACUGCCUUCCCCGCCCUCCAAGGAGCUGUGAGGGAGCAGGGAGGAAAAAUCUCAUUUUCUUUGGCACAGGAUCCAAUUAUGCUGGGUCACAAAUUCUUCCAAUUCUUACACUCAUUUUCACCAGAGAAAAUGGCAAAUUUUCACUAGUGAAUUCCCAGGAAGACUGUUUUCUCAUGCAAACUGAUAUUGGUUCCCUGAGAAAAGGGAACUUGAUUUAAAUUAUUAUAAUUGCUGGCGUAGUCUUCAGGCCGUUCUCGAUAUUUCCCAGCCCCCUUCUCAUCUUUACUGGACAGAAAGACUAUUAUUAUCGUCUUCCCGAAUGAAAGGGAAACAUUUAGCUUCAAAUAUAUGGCCCUGGCGCUGCACAGGAGAUGUUUGAAUUUAUUUCACACUAGUGGGAUGUGGAUGAAAGCUUCGGGCCAGCUGAAUUCAGCUUGUCACCUUCUUUCUCCUUCGGGGAGCUUUUUGUCUUUUGCUGUCAUCUUAGAAUUUCUCCCUGAGUCAGCCAUGCUGGGCAGGGAAAUUGGUGUGUCUUGGACAUAGCUAUGUCUUGAAGAAUUGACAAGGACAAGAAGAAUUAGCAAGAGUGGAGAAGGGAGGGGGAAACCAGCUGCUAUAUCCAAAGGUAUGUUGCUGUUGCAGGACAAAGCUGUCUGCCUUAAAGAAAGUAUUCCCCCUCAGCAUGGAUUACGGUGAUGCCGCAUACAAAUACACAGGUAGAUCCAUCACCCUAGGAGCAAAAUGGGAGGAGAGAAGUGCUAGGAGCUAGAGGAUGCACCAGAAUUUUGCUGGGACACUACAAAUGUUUGCAGAACUAGCAGGACUUCAUGUAAGGAUAAAUGAUAUAUUCACAAAAGGAGUGAAGUUCUUCAAACUAUAAUGUGAAAUGCACAGAUUCCAAGGCCAGAAGGGACCAUUGUGAUUCUGUAGUUUCUCCUCCCAUGUAACAAAGGUCAUAGAACUCCACCAAAAUAACUCCUAGAGCAGAACUUUUAGACAAACAUCCGAUUUUGAUUUAAAAAUUGUCAGUGAUGGAGAAUCUACCACAACCUUGGUAAAUUAUUCCAAUACUUAAUUACUCUCACCAUUAAAAAUGUAUGCCUUAUGUCCAGUCUGAAUUUGUCUAGCUUCAACUUCCAGCCACUGGAUCAUGUUAUACCUUUCUCUGCUAGACUGAAGAACUCAGUGUUAAAUAUUUGUUCCCCUUGAAGAUUGAUUCCCAGGCUCUCCUCUCCCCACUAGCCCUUCAUUGCCAGCACAUCUUACAACGUCAGGUCUCUCUGAUACAAUAAGAACUCUGCAAAUAAUGUUUAUUUUUCAGUUCACUGGCAGUUCUGAAAAAUUGGACAAAAAAUUCAGGGAACAUAAAAAUUGAAAAACAAAAUUGGAGUCCAAUAAAAUGUUUUGUUCCACCUGAGAUGAAAUAUUUCAUUUCAGAGCUUUUAAAAACUUUUAAAAAUAAAAGUAAAUGGAAAACCAGAAAAUUAUUUCUGAUUUUAAAAAAAUGGACACAUUUCAUUUUGAAAAUAAUGAAAUGAAACAGGUUAAUUUUUACAGAUUUUUUUUUCCAACCGAAACAAAUUGGAGACAUUGACACCAGUUCAUGAAAAGUUUUGGUUGACCUAAAUCUGCAUUUUUGUUGAAAAAGAGUUUCAGGUGAAAAAUGUUACCCAGCUCUAGAUACAAUUCAUUAAAGGUGGGUUUUAAACAGCUAUUUCCCACCCCCUGAUGAAAUAUGGGGGGAGAGAAGGGCAAAAGGAAGGAGCAUGGGGCUGGGAACCAGCAACAGCCUAAAUUCUAGUCCCAAAUCUGCUAUGGACUUACCGCUUGGCAUCAGGCAGGUCACAAAUGCAAUAUAUAACCAUGAUAUUGGGGAACUAUUUUGUGUUUUCUCGAGAGACUACAGGUUUCCGGAGUUGUCCACAGUCUGAUUGGCUGCCUUUCUCCAGGAGGGUGUGAAAUAGGGAAGGGGAGCCAAUCCGAGCUCCUGCAUGUGAUGUGGGACAGCCUGGACCUUCAGCAAGGGGACCAGUUAGAGUGCCCUCCUGCUCCACUCCCAGAGAGUGCUGCUGUGUGCUGAGAUCUGACUGGAGAGCAGCUGCCUUCCCCAGGCUUGGGAGGAGAUUGUCAGGGCAUUACUGCUCACCCCUUAGGCUCCCAAAGGAUUAUUGCAAGGUCUUUGGAGGACCUUGACAGUGACAUCACAACAGACUGAAAUCUGCACCAUCGAUGGCUCAGAUCCUGUAUUUGGGUUCAGGUCUGGACCCCCGCUGAACUUGAAAGGACUUUAUGCAAGGAGCCAUCUCAGCUGUAUAUUAAAGUGAGGGACCUCAGCUAAACUAACAGGCUGAAUUCCUACAGGUCCAAGAAUAAAUAGACCAAGAUGUUCCUGGUGCUUGAGCUAAUGGUGUCCAAAAAGGCAGGUGUGUCCAGUUCUUCCAUCAUUACCAGUUUGUUGUUGUCCCAGCUGGGUUGCCUGAACCAAAGUAACUGUCAUCCAACUGCAGUAGUCAAGACUCCCUGGCAUGGACAUCAGUUCUUUCCAUUCCUGAGACACAGGCGCAUAGAAAUGGAGGGCAGGAAGAGACCUCAAGAAGUCAUCUGGUCCAGCCCCCGGCACAGCUUGCUUUACAUGCAUGUUUUUAAGUCCUAAGCUUUCCUUGAAAAAACGAGACUCUCCACGAUUUUUCCUGCAAACUGUGAAAUUUUACAAAUUCUACAUUUCAGCAGCCACCAGCCAAUGCAGCCCUAGAGAAAGAGAUCUUGAUGGUGAAUUCCGGCUGUGAGGGAGCAAGGUGAGGCUUCAGGGAUGGGAUGAAGUGAGGUUUGGAAACUUGGCUUUGCAAAACGAGACAAGCAAGCACAACCUGCAACUCCACUUGAAGCAUGUUCGGCACACGGCGGACAAUGAGCAGAGGGGUUUGUAUGUAGCAACACCGCGAGAACGGUGGAUCCCCUAUGGUUGGGUUACGACCAAGUCAGGCUAUGAAGGAGCGGCACCGCCAUCUUGAAUUGGCUAAAUCUCACCAAUAGACGUUGGUCCA
Long non-coding RNA from Caretta caretta (loggerhead turtle), 3645 nucleotides. RefSeq lists it as uncharacterized. The record is from RefSeq and is a predicted model, not a curated record. NCBI's taxonomy places the organism in Eukaryota, Metazoa, Chordata, Testudines, Cheloniidae.